CCUACGGGAGGCUGCAGUGGGGAAUAUUGCACAAUGGGCGCAAGCCUGAUGCAGCCAUGCCGCGUGUGUGAAGAAGGCCUUCGGGUUGUAAAGCACUUUCAGCGGGGAGGAAGGCGUUAAGGUUAAUAACCUUGGCGAUUGACGUUACCCGCAGAAGAAGCACCGGCUAACUCCGUGCCAGCAGCCGCGGUAAUACGGAGGGUGCAAGCGUUAAUCGGAAUUACUGGGCGUAAAGCGCACGCAGGCGGUCUGUCAAGUCGGAUGUGAAAUCCCCGGGCUCAACCUGGGAACUGCAUUCGAAACUGGCAGGCUAAAGUCUUGUAGAGGGGGGUAGAAUUCCAGGUGUAGCGGUGAAAUGCGUAGAGAUCUGGAGGAAUACCGGUGGCGAAGGCGGCCCCCUGGACAAAGACUGACGCUCAGGUGCGAAAGCGUGGGGAGCAAACAGGAUUAGAUACCCGUGUAGUC
Molecule: ribosomal RNA, 465 nt
Filed under: uncultured Klebsiella sp.
Lineage: Bacteria; Pseudomonadati; Pseudomonadota; Gammaproteobacteria; Enterobacterales; Enterobacteriaceae
Description: bacterial SSU rRNA
Rfam family: Bacterial small subunit ribosomal RNA
Source: RNAcentral